CCUACGGGGGGCUGCAGUGGGGAAUAUUGGACAAUGGGGGGAACCCUGAUCCAGCCAUGCCGCGUGUGUGAAGAAGGCCCUCGGGUUGUAAAGCACUUUCAGUGAGGAAGAACGCCUGGUGGUUAAUACCCAUCAGGAAAGACAUCACUCACAGAAGAAGCACCGGCUAACUCCGUGCCAGCAGCCGCGGUAAUACGGAGGGUGCGAGCGUUAAUCGGAAUUACUGGGCGUAAAGCGCGCGUAGGUGGCUUGAUAAGCCGGUUGUGAAAGCCCCGGGCUCAACCUGGGAACGGCAUCCGGAACUGUCAAGCUAGAGUGCAGGAGAGGAAGGUAGAAUUCCCGGUGUAGCGGUGAAAUGCGUAGAGAUCGGGAGGAAUACCAGUGGCGAAGGCGGCCUUCUGGACUGACACUGACACUGAGGUGCGAAAGCGUGGGUAGCAAAUAGGAUUAGAUACCCUUGUAGUC
Molecule: ribosomal RNA, 465 nt
Filed under: Vreelandella stevensii
Lineage: Bacteria; Pseudomonadati; Pseudomonadota; Gammaproteobacteria; Oceanospirillales; Halomonadaceae
Description: partial 16S ribosomal RNA
Rfam family: Bacterial small subunit ribosomal RNA
Source: RNAcentral